This is a non-coding RNA of Danio rerio (zebrafish), 797 nucleotides long. Lineage: Eukaryota; Metazoa; Chordata; Actinopteri; Cypriniformes; Danionidae. The record is from RefSeq and is a predicted model, not a curated record.
AACUGCCCAUGAUUUAAUGCACUCGCUUUGCUUGCCCUAAUUGGAGUCACCACAGGAGGGCGCUCUAGACUUAUAGGAUUUAAGUGAGACAAAGCAGAGUAAGAGCAAUUCACGUUUGUUCACGAGCUAACAGGUACAGCUCGGAAGAAUGCCUUGAGCUUUUAGUGUCCCUUCGGCAAGCAGAGCGAGUUUUACGGUGCUUUUGGUGCCUUUGGUCUUUUGAUGCUUCUGUGUAUACAACAAAGAACUGAGACGAUGAUUUAUGUGAUGAACUUUUUUGCAUCCAAGUAAACCUUUUUAAAUGCACCCAUCAAAAACUCUCUGCCUAUUUAUUGAAAGCUGAAGGGCUGCUACAGUAAAACUCGCUGCUACACAUGGCGUUUGCAUCGCGUUGGUGAUUCAUCACAUGAGUGUCAUGUUACAAGCCUUCAUCUUGUCUGUGGCACUGCAUGGCAUCUACAAGAGACUGAAUCUACACUAGGACGGCGACUUUACACGGUUAACUGGGAAAACUCUUCAUGAAAGACUGAAAGGUGACUGCAAACAAACGUUGUGGACUCAGAGGUACAAGAAAGGGAAAAAUAUUUAUCUAUUUAUUACUUUUGGGAUAAUUGCAAUUUUUAAAGAAAAAAAAAGGGAUUUAUAUUUGUAUGCUUUGUUGAAUUUGUAUGCAGUAAUUGAAGUUUGAGAAUGAGGAGUGACUAAUGAUUUAAGUGCUCAUGUUUCAAGGUGUUUGUGUAAUGUUGGGCUUAUAUUCAUGAUGCAUGUAUUAGACAAAUGUUUGCAAUUUUAAAGUG